AUCUUAGGUGUUCGUUAAUCUGCAUGUUCUUCAGGCCGUACCUGUUAUCCAUGCCCUCCACGAACUCAGUCGCGGGAACAAGAGUACGGGUAUCGCCUCCAGCCGUAAACAUCCAUUGCUUAAAGAGUUCGGCUGCUUUCAAAACGGUUGCUUGAUCUAUUUCAGUCAUUUUGAUCUCUCCUAAGUGAAUUAAUACUUUCAUUGAAAACGAUUAAACUAUUGUGUUAUACGUAUAUCAAGUUCACAUUUCAACUUUCUACAUAGGUAUCUCCUUUCAUAUUCUUUCCAUUGUCAAAUUGAUUUAUUGAAGCCGUUCGCUGCGCAUGACAAUGGAAAGCGCAAAUAGGAUCAAGAAUCCCAUCACCAGAAGAACAGGG
RNAcentral lists this unclassified non-coding RNA (377 nucleotides) under uncultured bacterium. RNAcentral's name for it is "contains 16S-23S intergenic spacer region". The record is from RNAcentral.